GGGGAUAUAACUCAGUUGGUAGAGUGUAUGCUUUGCAAGCAUAAGGUCAAGAGUUCGAGUCUCUUUAUCUCCA
RNAcentral lists this transfer RNA (73 nucleotides) under Costaria costata. Its description in RNAcentral is "tRNA-Ala". It matches the Rfam family "tRNA". From Rfam's summary of the family: Transfer RNA (tRNA) molecules are approximately 80 nucleotides in length. Their secondary structure includes four short double-helical elements and three loops (D, anti-codon, and T loops). The record is from RNAcentral. Lineage: Eukaryota; Phaeophyceae; Laminariales; Agaraceae.